ACAGAGGGUGCGAGCGUUAAUCGGAGUUACUGGGCGUAAAGGGUGCGUAGGCGGUAUGAUGUGUGUGAUGUGAAAGCCCCGGGCUUAACCUGGGAAGUGCAUCGCAAACUAUCAAACUAGAGUAUAUGAGAGGGUGGCGGAAUUUCCGGUGUAGCGGUGAAAUGCGUAGAGAUCGGAAGGAACGUCAAUGGCGAAGGCAGCCACCUGGCAUAAUACUGACGCUGAGGCACGAAAGCGUGGGGAGCGAACAGGAUUAGAUACCCUGGUAGUCCACGCUGUAAACGAUGACAACUAGAUGUUGGGAGGGGAACCUUUCAGUAUCGAAGCUAACGCGAUAAGUUGUCCGCCUGGGAAGUACGGCCGCAAGGUUG
RNAcentral lists this ribosomal RNA (371 nucleotides) under uncultured bacterium. Its description in RNAcentral is "bacterial SSU rRNA". It matches the Rfam family "Bacterial small subunit ribosomal RNA", at positions 525 to 896 of the family's 1533-position model. The record is from RNAcentral.